This 253-nucleotide ribosomal RNA is filed under the name uncultured bacterium. Its description in RNAcentral is "partial 16S ribosomal RNA". It matches the Rfam family "Bacterial small subunit ribosomal RNA", at positions 524 to 776 of the family's 1533-position model. The record is from RNAcentral.
UACGGAGGGUGCAAACGUUGCUCGGAAUCAUUGGGCGUAAAGCGCACGUAGGCGGACCGCUAAGUCGGAUGUGAAAGCCCUCGGCUUAACCGAGGAAGUGCAUUCGAAACUGACAGUCUUGAGUAUGGAAGAGGGUCGCGGAAUUCCCGGUGUAGAGGUGAAAUUCGUGGAUAUCGGGAGGAACACCAGUGGCGAAGGCGGCGACCUGGGCCAAUACUGACGCUGAGGUGCGAAAGCGUGGGGAGCAAACAGG